RNAcentral lists this ribosomal RNA (274 nucleotides) under uncultured bacterium. RNAcentral's name for it is "partial 16S ribosomal RNA". It matches the Rfam family "Bacterial small subunit ribosomal RNA", at positions 523 to 796 of the family's 1533-position model. The record is from RNAcentral.
AUACGGAGGGGGUUAGCGUUGCUCGGAAUUACUGGGCGUAAAGCGCACGUAGGCGGACUGGAAAGUUGGGGGUGAAAUCCCGGGGCUCAACCCCGGAACUGCCUCCAAAACUUCCAAUCUAGAGAUCGAGAGAGGUGAGUGGAAUUCCAAGUGUAGAGGUGAAAUUCGUAGAUAUUUGGAGGAACACCAGUGGCGAAGGCGGCUCACUGGCUCGAUACUGACGCUGAGGUGCGAAAGCGUGGGGAGCAAACAGGAUUAGAAACCCGGGUAGUCC